AGGACGAACGCUGGCGGCGUGCUUAACACAUGCAAGUCGAGCGGAAAGGCCCUUCGGGGUACUCGAGCGGCGAACGGGUGAGUAACACGUGAGUAAUCUGCCCCUAGCUCUGGGAUAGCUCCGGGAAACCGGGAUUAAUACCGGAUACGACCACUACGGACAUCUGUGGUGGUGGAAAGAACUUCGGCUAGGGAUGAGCUCGCGGCCUAUCAGCUUGUUGGUGGGGUAACGGCCUACCAAGGCGACGACGGGUAGCCGGCCUGAGAGGGCGACCGGCCACACUGGGACUGAGACACGGCCCAGACUCCUACGGGAGGCAGCAGUGGGGAAUAUUGCGCAAUGGGCGAAAAGCCUGACGCAGCGACGCCGCGUGGGGGAUGAAGGCCUUCGGGUUGUAAACCCCUUUCAGCAGGGACGAAGCGAAAGUGACGGUACCUGCAGAAGAAGCGCCGGCUAACUAACGUGCCAGCAGCCGC
This 476-nucleotide ribosomal RNA is filed under the name uncultured bacterium. Its description in RNAcentral is "SSU rRNA". It matches the Rfam family "Bacterial small subunit ribosomal RNA", at positions 26 to 518 of the family's 1533-position model. The record is from RNAcentral.